Long non-coding RNA from Danaus plexippus (monarch butterfly), 898 nucleotides. RefSeq lists it as uncharacterized. The record is from RefSeq and is a predicted model, not a curated record. The transcript is spliced from 2 exons. Lineage: Eukaryota; Metazoa; Arthropoda; Insecta; Lepidoptera; Nymphalidae.
UCAAUAUAUUUCUUUGUUAAAUCAGUCUCGUUUUACAAUUCCCCAUUCCUUGGGGGAUUCCUUGUCAUAUAAAUGUUAAUUUCUCGAACACAUUUUCCUUUAUACAAAUUUGUUACUAUAAAAGCCUUGUAGCUCACCAGACUCGUUUAUUUUGUUUCAGUGUCGUAAAGAUGAAGGUUAUGAUAGUAAUGUUGCUUAUAUCUAUGGUGUUACAAAUGUCUCAUGGUGACACUGUCCAUGGAGUGAAUGUUCCUGCAUCUACCACAGCUAAGUCGUGGACAAAGAAGUUGGUCGAGAAAGCGAGCAAGGUACUGUAUGGCCUGUCAGUGAUCGGUCAGGUGCAAGGAAUAGUACAAGGAGGUCGAGGAGGUCACAGACACAAAGGGACAGCUCUCAAAAAAACAACAUAGUAUAUGGUAAUACAUAUUAAAUAUAAGUCACUAUAUUCUCUUAAACAAGCCUCCAUUGAAUAUUUCAACUAAAUUAAUAUUUGUUUAAUUAAAACUGUAAUUUCAGUAGUUACUAUGAACCAGUACAGACUUCCUUUGUUUUAUAUUAAUUAACUUCAUUCGAUCCUAGGCUUCACUGACGUCAAUGGUUCAACUUUAUUAUUAUGUAAAUUCAACAAUGUUUCUAAUAAGUGAAUUUUAUUAGGUAUUAAGUUUAGCAAAACAUUGUUAUUUUAUAAUACUGACAGUCAUUAAAAAAUAUAAUAAAAUAUGGUAUUAAUUAUUUAAGCAACUAAAAAAUUGAAAUUUUAGAAUUGCGUUUCUGUGACGGGUGGGUUUGAUUAAUAAACAGUAAAUUCGUAUUGUGUUAAUUUUGAUUGCAUUAUUAAUGUCACCAGGAAAGCCAGCAUUUAAUGUGUUUAAAAUAUAAUUAUAAAAGGUCAUUUUCA